RNAcentral lists this ribosomal RNA (447 nucleotides) under uncultured bacterium. RNAcentral's name for it is "bacterial SSU rRNA". It matches the Rfam family "Bacterial small subunit ribosomal RNA", at positions 29 to 519 of the family's 1533-position model. The record is from RNAcentral.
AACGAACGCUGGCGGCAGGCCUAACACAUGCAAGUCGAACGCCCGUAGCAAUACGGGAGUGGCAGACGGGUGAGUAACGCGUGGGAACGUGCCCUUCGGUUUGGAAUAACUCAGGGAAACUUGAGCUAAUACCAAAUACGUCCGUAAGGAGAAAGAUUUAUCGCCGAAGGAUCGGCCCGCGUCGGAUUAGCUAGUUGGUGAGGUAACGGCCCACCAAGGCGACGAUCCGUAGCUGGUCUGAGAGGAUGAUCAGCCACACUGGGACUGAGACACGGCCCAGACUCCUACGGGAGGCAGCAGUGGGGAAUAUUGGACAAUGGGCGAAAGCCUGAUCCAGCCAUGCCGCGUGAGUGAAGAAGGCCUUAGGGUUGUAAAGCUCUUUCAGCGGGGAAGAUAAUGACGGUACCCGCAGAAGAAGCCCCGGCUAACUUCGUGCCAGCCGCCGCU